UGGGGAAUAUUGGACAAUGGGCGAAAGCCUGAUCCAGCAAUGCCGCGUGAGUGAUGAAGGCCUUAGGGUUGUAAAGCUCUUUUACCAGGGAUGAUAAUGACAGUACCUGGAGAAUAAGCUCCGGCUAACUCCGUGCCAGCAGCCGCGGUAAUACGGAGGGAGCUAGCGUUGUUCGGAAUUACUGGGCGUAAAGCGCACGUAGGCGGCGACUCAAGUCAGGGGUGAAAGCCCGGGGCUCAACCCCGGAACUGCCCUUGAAACUAGGUUGCUAGAAUCUUGGAGAGGUCAGUGGAAUUCCGAGUGUAGAGGUGAAAUUCGUAGAUAUUCGGAAGAACACCAGUGGCGAAGGCGACUGACUGGACAAGUAUUGACGCUGAGGUGCGAAAGCGUGGGGAGCAAACA
This 402-nucleotide ribosomal RNA is filed under the name uncultured Novosphingobium sp. RNAcentral's name for it is "bacterial SSU rRNA". It matches the Rfam family "Bacterial small subunit ribosomal RNA", at positions 355 to 774 of the family's 1533-position model. The record is from RNAcentral. Lineage: Bacteria; Pseudomonadati; Pseudomonadota; Alphaproteobacteria; Sphingomonadales; Sphingomonadaceae.